RNAcentral lists this non-coding RNA (23 nucleotides) under Mus musculus (house mouse). The record is from RNAcentral. Lineage: Eukaryota; Metazoa; Chordata; Mammalia; Rodentia; Muridae.
UGUUCAUGUCAUGACCUGGUCCU